GACGAACGCUGGCGGCGUGCCUAAUACAUGCCAGUUGAGCGAUGAAGAUUGGUGCUUGCUCCAAUUUGAAGAGCAGCGAACGGGUGAGUAACGCGUGGGGAAUCUGCCUUUGAGCGGGGGACAACAUCUGGAAACGAAUGCUAAUACCGCAUAAUAACUUUAAACAUAAGUUUUAAGUUUGAAAGAUGCAAUUGCAUCACUCAAAGAUGAUCCCGCGUUGUAUUAGCUAGUUGGUGAGGUAAAGGCUCACCAAGGCGAUGAUACAUAGCCGACCUGAGAGGGGGGUCGGCCACAUUGGGACUGGGACACGGCCCAAACUCCUACGGGGGGGAGCAGGAAGGAAUCUUCGGCAAUGGAGGAAAGUCUGACCGAGCAACGCCGCGGGAGGGAAGAAGGGUUUCGGAUCGUAAAACUCUGUUGGUAGAGAAGAACGUUGGUGGGAGGGGAAAGCUCAUCAAGUGACGGUAACUACCCAGAAAGGGACGGCUAACUACGUG
RNAcentral lists this ribosomal RNA (497 nucleotides) under uncultured bacterium. Its description in RNAcentral is "partial 16S ribosomal RNA". It matches the Rfam family "Bacterial small subunit ribosomal RNA", at positions 28 to 507 of the family's 1533-position model. The record is from RNAcentral.